UACAGAGGUCUCAAGCGUUGUUCGGAUUCAUCGGGCGUAAAGGGUGCGUAGGCGGCGCGGUAAGUCGGGUGUGAAAUCUCGGAGCUUAACUCCGAAACUGCAUUCGAUACUGCCGUGCUUGAGGACUGGAGAGGAGACUGGAAUUUACGGUGUAGCGGUGAAAUGCGUAGAUAUCGCUUGGAACGCCAAAGGUGAAAACAGACAGCUGGGAGUGUGCUGACGCUGAGACACGAAAGCCAGGGGAGCGAACGGG
This 253-nucleotide ribosomal RNA is filed under the name uncultured bacterium. RNAcentral describes it as "partial 16S ribosomal RNA". It matches the Rfam family "Bacterial small subunit ribosomal RNA", at positions 524 to 776 of the family's 1533-position model. The record is from RNAcentral.